CCGCCUGGGGGAGUACGGCCGCAAGGCUUGAAACUUAAAGGAAUUGGCGGGGGAGCACUACAAGGGGUGGAGCGUGCGGUUUAAUUGGAUUCAACGCCGGGAACCUCACCGGGGGCGACGGCAGGAUGAAGGCCAGGUUGAAGGUCUUGCCGGACACGCCGAGAGGAGGUGCAUGGCCGCCGUCAGCUCGUACCGUGAGGCGUCCACUUAAGUGUGGUAACGAGCGAGACCCGCGCCCCCAGUUGCCAGUCCUCCCCGCUGGGGAGGAGGCACUCUGGGGGGACCGCCGGCGAUAAGCCGGAGGAAGGAGCGGGCGACGGUAGGUCAGUAUGCCCCGAAACCCCCGGGCUACACGCGCGCUACAAUGGGCGGGACAAUGGGAUCCGACCCCGAAAGGGGAAGGGAAUCCCCUAAACCCGCCCCCAGUUCGGAUCGCGGGCUGCAACUCGNCCGCGUGAAGCUGGAAUUCCCUAGUACCCANNGUUUNNCCUACGCGCGGCGAANANGACUUCC
RNAcentral lists this ribosomal RNA (513 nucleotides) under uncultured archaeon. RNAcentral's name for it is "bacterial SSU rRNA". It matches the Rfam family "Archaeal small subunit ribosomal RNA", at positions 824 to 1330 of the family's 1478-position model. The record is from RNAcentral.